Molecule: ribosomal RNA, 491 nt
Filed under: uncultured bacterium
Lineage: Bacteria
Description: partial 16S ribosomal RNA
Rfam family: Bacterial small subunit ribosomal RNA
Source: RNAcentral
AGUGAACGCUGGCGGUAGGCCUAACACAUGCAAGUCGAACGGCAGCACAGUAAGAGCUUGCUCUUACGGGUGGCGAGUGGCGGACGGGUGAGGAAUACAUCGGAAUCUACUUUUUCGUGGGGGAUAACGUAGGGAAACUUACGCUAAUACCGCAUACGACCUACGGGUGAAAGCAGGGGAUCUUCGGACCUUGCGCGAUUGAAUGAGCCGAUGUCGGAUUAGCUAGUUGGCGGGGUAAAGGCCCACCAAGGCGACGAUCCGUAGCUGGUCUGAGAGGAUGAUCAGCCACACUGGAACUGAGACACGGUCCAGACUCCUACGGGAGGCAGCAGUGGGGAAUAUUGGACAAUGGGCGCAAGCCUGAUCCAGCCAUACCGAGUGGGUGAAGAAGGCCUUCGGGUUGUAAAGCCCUUUUGUUGGGAAAGAAAAGCAGCAGGUUAAUACCCCGCUGUUCUGACGGUACCCAAAGAAUAAGCACCGGCUAACUUCGU